AUUGAACGCUGGCGGCAGGCCUAACACAUGCAAGUCGAGCGGAUGAAGGGAGCUUGCUCCUCGAUUCAGCGGCGGACGGGCGAGUAAUGCCUAGGAAUCUGCCUGGUCUUUGGGGAUAACGUCCGGAAACGGGCGCUAAUACCGCAUACGUCCUGAGGGUGAAAGUGGUGGUUCUUCAGACCUCACGCUAUUUGAUGAGCCUAGGUCGGAUUAGCUAGUUGGUGGGGUAAAGGCCUACCAAGGCGACGAUCCGUAACUGGUCUGAGAGGAUGAUCAGUCACACUGGAACUGAGACACGGUCCAGACUCCUACGGUAGGCAGCAGUGGGGAAUAUUGGACAAAGGGCGAAAGCCUGAUCCAGCCAUGCCGCGUGUGUGAAGAAGGUCUUCGGAUUGUAAAGCACUUUAAGUUGGGAGGAAGGGCAGUAAGUUAAUACCUUGCUGUUUUGACGUUACCAACAGAAUAAGCACCGGCUAACUUCGUG
This 484-nucleotide ribosomal RNA is filed under the name uncultured bacterium. Its description in RNAcentral is "partial 16S ribosomal RNA". It matches the Rfam family "Bacterial small subunit ribosomal RNA", at positions 30 to 507 of the family's 1533-position model. The record is from RNAcentral.